CAGCCGCCGCGGGAAUACAGAGGGUGCGAGCGUUAAUCGGAUUUACUGGGCGUAAAGCGUGCGUAGGCGGCUUUUUAAGUCGGAUGUGAAAUCCCUGAGCUUAACUUAGGAAUUGCAUUCGAUACUGGGAAGCUAGAGUAUGGGAAAGGAUGGUAGAAUUCCAGGUGUAGCGGUGAAAUGCGUAGAGAUCUGGAGGAAUACCGAUGGCGAAGGCAGCCAUCUGGCCUAAUACUGACGCUGAGGUACGAAAGCAUGGGGAGCAAACAGGAUUAGAUACCCCGGUAGUCCCUGUCUCUUAUAC
This 301-nucleotide ribosomal RNA is filed under the name uncultured bacterium. Its description in RNAcentral is "partial 16S ribosomal RNA". It matches the Rfam family "Bacterial small subunit ribosomal RNA", at positions 509 to 807 of the family's 1533-position model. The record is from RNAcentral.